RNAcentral lists this ribosomal RNA (619 nucleotides) under uncultured bacterium. RNAcentral describes it as "bacterial SSU rRNA". It matches the Rfam family "Bacterial small subunit ribosomal RNA", at positions 338 to 950 of the family's 1533-position model. The record is from RNAcentral.
CCUACGGGAGGCAGCAGUGGGGAAUUUUGGACAAUGGGCGCAAGCCUGAUCCAGCAAUGCCGCGUGAGUGAAGAAGGCCUUCGGGUUGUAAAGCUCUUUUGUCAGGGAAGAAACGGUGGAGGCUAAUAUCCUUUGCUAAUGACGGUACCUGAAGAAUAAGCACCGGCUAACUACGUGCCAGCAGCCGCGGUAAUACGUAGGGUGCAAGCGUUAAUCGGAAUUACUGGGCGUAAAGCGUGCGCAGGCGGUUUUGUAAGUUUGUCGUGAAAUCCCCGGGCUCAACCUGGGAAUGGCGAUGAAGACUGCAAGGCUAGAAUCUGGCAGAGGGGGGUAGAAUUCCACGUGUAGCAGUGAAAUGCGUAGAGAUGUGGAGGAACACCGAUGGCGAAGGCAGCCCCCUGGGUCAAGAUUGACGCUCAUGCACGAAAGCGUGGGGAGCAAACAGGAUUAGAUACCCUGGUAGUCCACGCCCUAAACGAUGUCUACUAGUUGUCGGGUUUUAAUUAACUUGGUAACGCAGCUAACGCGUGAAGUAGACCGCCUGGGGAGUACGGUCGCAAGAUUAAAACUCAAAGUGUAAGUGACGUGUAGAGUAGCGACGAGCACGACGGAGGUUAGG